This 427-nucleotide ribosomal RNA is filed under the name uncultured prokaryote. RNAcentral's name for it is "bacterial SSU rRNA". It matches the Rfam family "Bacterial small subunit ribosomal RNA", at positions 355 to 774 of the family's 1533-position model. The record is from RNAcentral.
UCGAGAAUUUUUCACAAUGGACGAAAGUCUGACGGAGCGACGCCGCGUGGAUGAAGAAGGCCGCAAGGUUGUAAAAUCCUUUUGCUGGGGAAGAAUAAGCGCAGGAGGGAAUGCCUGCGUGAUGACAUGAACCGGCGAAUAAGCUCCGGCCAACUACGUGCCAGCAGCCGCGGUAACACGUAGGGGGCAAGCGUUGUUCGGAAUUACUGGGCGUAAAGGGCAUGUAGGCGGUUUAGUAAGCUUGGCGUGAAAGACCACGGCUUAACUGUGGGGUUGCGUUGAGAACUGCUGAACUUGAGUUACGGAGAGGGAGCUAGAAUUCCUGGUGUAGGGGUGGAAUCUGUAGAGAUCAGGAAGAAUACCGAUGGCGAAGGCAAGCUUCUGGCCGAUAACUGACGCUGAGGUGCGAAAGUGUGGGGAUCAAACA